AAAACUUGAAAAUCCGUUGGCUUUAUUGACCGUGAGGGUUCAAGUCCCUCUACCCCCA
RNAcentral lists this transfer RNA (58 nucleotides) under Tomentypnum nitens. Its description in RNAcentral is "partial tRNA-Leu". RNAcentral also lists the same sequence under 3 other names. The record is from RNAcentral. Lineage: Eukaryota; Viridiplantae; Streptophyta; Bryopsida; Hypnales; Brachytheciaceae.